UGGGGAAUACUGCGCAAUGGGCGAAAGCCUGACGCAGCGACGCCGCGUGAGGGAUGAAGGUUUUCGGAUCGUAAACCUCUGUCAGAAGGGAAGAAACCGCACUGUGCUAAUCAGCAGUGCCUUGACGGUACCUUCAAAGGAAGCACCGGCUAACUCCGUGCCAGCAGCCGCGGUAAUACGGAGGGUGCAAGCGUUAAUCGGAAUUACUGGGCGUAAAGCGCACGUAGGCUGCUUUGUAAGUCAGGGGUGAAAUCCCACGGCUCAACCGUGGAACUGCCUUUGAUACUGCUUAGCUUGAAUCCGGGAGAGGGUGGCGGAAUUCCAGGUGUAGGAGUGAAAUCCGUAGAUAUCUGGAGGAACAUCAGUGGCGAAGGCGGCCACCUGGACCGGUAUUGACGCUGAGGUGCGAAAGCGUGGGGAGCAAACAGG
This 429-nucleotide ribosomal RNA is filed under the name Fusobacteriota bacterium. RNAcentral's name for it is "Fusobacteria bacterium partial 16S ribosomal RNA". It matches the Rfam family "Bacterial small subunit ribosomal RNA", at positions 355 to 776 of the family's 1533-position model. Lineage: Bacteria; Fusobacteriati; Fusobacteriota. The record is from RNAcentral.